CCUACGGGAGGCAGCAGUGAGGAAUAUUGGUCAAUGGACGCAAGUCUGAACCAGCCAUGCCGCGUGCAGGAAGAAGGCCCUAUGAGUUGUAAACUGCUUUUGUACGAGGGUAAACGCAGAUACGCGUAUCUGUCUGAAGGUAUCGUACGAAUAAGGACCGGCUAACUCCGUGCCAGCAGCCGCGGUAAUACGGAGGAUUCAAGCGUUAUCCGGAUUUAUUGGGUUUAAAGGGUGCGUAGGCGGUCGGUUAAGUUAGAGGUGAAAUCCCGAGGCUCAACUUCGGAACGGCCUCUGAUACUGGUCGGCUAGAGAGUAGUUGCGGUAGGCGGAAUGUAUGGUGUAGCGGUGAAAUGCUUAGAGAUCAGACAGAACACCGAUUGCGAAGGCAGCUUACCGGGCUGCUUCUGACGUUGAGGCACGAAAGCGUGGGGAGCAAACAGGAUUAGAUACCCGGGUAGUC
Molecule: ribosomal RNA, 460 nt
Filed under: uncultured bacterium
Lineage: Bacteria
Description: partial 16S ribosomal RNA
Rfam family: Bacterial small subunit ribosomal RNA
Source: RNAcentral